Long non-coding RNA from Manis pentadactyla (Chinese pangolin), 1333 nucleotides. RefSeq lists it as uncharacterized. The record is from RefSeq and is a predicted model, not a curated record. The transcript has 3 exons. NCBI's taxonomy places the organism in Eukaryota, Metazoa, Chordata, Mammalia, Pholidota, Manidae.
UGGUGGUAAUAACAAACACUUAAAGCAUGCCCAUCAUGUAUUUAUUCUGCUAAAUGCUUUUUAUUUACAAAUUCCUGCAUUCCUCAGGACAACCCCAGGAGAAACUCCUUAGCUUGCAGGAGGCAAAGCAAGACACAGAGAGAUUAAAUAACUUGCCCAGAGUCACACAGCUAAAUCGAGGUGGAUUUGAACCCAGGCCAUGUGGCUCACAUUUAUUUGCUCACACAUUUACAGACAUACAUGCAUCCCCUCACAUUCACAAGUAAAAUCGCACACACACUUCACACUGCUCUGACCAACCUCCCUUCCUCAGCUCCUGUCACUGGCCAAAAAGGGAGUCUGGGAACCCGGCUCCAAAAGGGAGGUUCGCUCCAGAAGGGAUUUUCAGGGAUGGUUCAUGUCAAAACUUCAAAUAAUUCAUAAGAAACAAAGUUGCUAAUUCCCCCUGCCCCCUGAAUUUCACAUCUCCUUUUAUGAAACUUCACUCAUUUCAGCCAGAUGAUCGGUUCAGUGUGUAAUUAAAUGUGAGUCAGUGUGUCUGGCUUGGCAGAACUCUCCAGGCUUGUCAGCUUUCAGAAGAGGCCGCAUCCUUGGUUGGCAUGUUCCUGGACUGCAAGCAAGCACCAUGACAAAGCCAGAGGACAUUCAGACCCUCCUAGAACUCACAGUCCAGGGGACAGAGAUCCUUGAAAUUCUCUUCCUGGUCUGGCCAUACCAGUGGGUCCCUCUGGACAUGAGAGCCCCGGCUCCCCCUCCUCCACGGAGCCACAUCCACAUUCAACUCUGGAAUUGUCUGCUUUAACUUUUCCCCGACAAUCUGCAGAAAUGUGGGUCAGGUGACCUCCCGUUUGAAAUGUUGACAACUGCAACUUCUAAUAAAAUAAAAGCCUGUUUUCUAUCUUAUCCCUGCCAAAGACAUCAUGAAUGAUUGAUUGAUUGAUUUAAAGAAAUUAAAACAUGUCACAUAUUUUAUAAGCAACUUAACUGCCUGAACUGGAGUCUGGGUACCUGACAUAAAGAUUUCAGUUUUAAAUAUCGAAAUCAAUAUAAAGAAUGAAAAGAUGAAUAAUAAGCCCAAAUAAUUUCUUUUCUCUUACAGGACACUGAAAAUUUCUGGAGGCCCAGAUUUUCCAUGGUGAUAUCCAUGGUUUAAAAUAGGAGGAUAACACAUGAACUAAGUAUAAAAAGGACCACUGAUGCAGCCAAAGACACUAGGCCUAUUAUGAUGAAAAACGCUUACCCCAUUCCCACCUGCUCUCAGGCAUUCGGAACCCUCUGGACCAUGGCCCAUCCCUCCAGCCUCCUUUUCCCAACUGUCCAUUCACACUUGUCC